GGCGGAAUUAUAGUGCUAUAUAAGGAAUGUACACCAUGUGUUGCUCUCUUUCAUAAUUUUGGAACAGGAGUUCAUCUGAGACCCGAUCGGUAAUGUGAAUAAAGGCCUCUUACUUCCUGAAUACCUGUGUCCAUAUUUCUGUGUUUGGCUUCUGCAUGCUUACACUGCUACAUUUCUGGUGCGUUGGCCGGGAACCUCAUCGCAUGGAAGCUGGCGCAGAGAUUUGAGACGGUAAACUUUUAUCAAAUCCUCUACGCUGCACCCCUGGACUUCUACUGCGUGGACAUCCCUUUAUCUCGGCGCCACUGGCCUUUUGUCCAGGAGAUCAUCGGCUUCUGCGCAGUGAGUACCGUGGUGUUCCGUCGAUGAGUGUGAACCCAGGUCCAGGAACUAACAGGUAAGACUGAUACCGUUGGAGCAAUAGACCCACAAGGGGUUUUAUAUUUGGAACUGGUUAUUGGAAUUGGCUCCUUCAAAUUGGAAGGAAGAAGCGAAGGCGCAACGAUUAUCUGGAAAUUAGACGCUCUGUAGUCAGCCCGUCUAAUAUAGGUGGUAUUGUCAGACUGAGUUCUGGUGUAAAUAGCUCAUGUCGGACACCAAUGUCCUGGCUUGACUAGCAUGCUAGGUGUAAAUUUUGGUUGCUAUCAAGGGGAGAUUGGCGAAACUAAGCAGACUCGGUUGUAUAUUAUAGUUUGCUAGAUUUCACCCUAUUUUAACUAAGUGUGCUCUGUUGUAAAUCCAGCCACUAGAUUAUUGAUAGUGUAAUAGACUAAAAGGGUAUUGGUGUAAAUUCUGCCCUCUAGUUCGCUAUACGUGGUGUCUGGGCAGCGAAGAACUUAUCGAAUCUCUGGUGUACAAAUAGAUCGAAAGCUCUCAAGGUGCUGGCCAGUUAGAAUAGUUGGGAUUAUUGUAAAUGUUGUUAAAUAUAUUGUAGUUGGUGAAUUGGUUAACUUGUAUGUUCUUCUAGAAAGUUAGAGCACUGCCGUCUAGUGGGAGUGUAAAUUGUGUGUAUAACUGUAAAAUAGCGCACAGUACCAUAACUACUGACAUGUACCAUAACCACUGACAUUGUGUAAAAAUUACUAACAAUUGCUGUUUUAUGAUAUAUAGAUAUAUAUAUAUAAUACCAUAACUGUUACUAACUGAUCUGUGACUUUAAAACUGUAUUAUAACCACUUACUAACUGUACCAUAACCACUAACUGUAAAGAUGAGGUUACAAGAAUGUGAUAUAGUUGGUUAGUCAAAAGUUGAUUUAUAGUACGGAUAAUUGUAGAGACGAAAUUGUUGAAAUGUUAUGUGAUCGGUUAGUUUAUAUGGAUUAAUAGCGUGGAUAGUUGUAUGGUUUGAUUAAUAGUUACAGUGAUAAGUAUAUAUAGUGUUUGGUGAGUCAUGAUUUUACUUGUGUGUGUGCGACGUCGUGAUAUUGUUGAGCAUGUGAGGAUCCUGUGUGUGUGUGCGCGUGUGUGUUUGGGCCUAGUAACUGUGCGAUGUGGUACUGGUGAUAAGGAGAUUGGUGUGACUGUUGAAACUGUGUGUAUAUUUGUAAUAAAAUUAAAACUACUAAAACAGGUAACCAAAUAUCCCAAACUCUCAUCUGGCACUCACAGUAUGAAUGUAAGGGAUCUGUAUCUAAAUGUAGAUAUUUGGAUAUUGAUUAUAGUGUGUGCAAGCCAAUAUCAGGAGAGUCUAAAUGUUUCGAUCCCCCAAUUCCAACCCUGUACAAUUUGGUUGGUAAUUAGGAAUAGUAAUUCCCAGGGAACUUUGAUAAAUAGGACUGUGAUAAAUACCAUACAUUCUAUGGAUGUUCUGCUAUUUGAUGCAUGUAAGGCGAUUUCAGGUAGUAGAAAACCUUGGAAUGUAUAUGGUAAUCUUAAAUGGGAACAAACUUAUGGGUUUAGUGAUAAAUACUUAUAUUCCAGUAGAAGAUCUACUGAUCCUGAUUGCCCAAAUAGAGAUUAUAAUUUUUGUCCCUAUUGGUCUUGUGUAGGGUGGGCAACCUGGGAAAAAACAGUGGAUCAAGAUAUGAUUAUCCAAAGGUUGCCUACCACACCAUACUGUAAAUCUAUGGAAUGUAAUCCUGUCAAUAUGACCAUCUCUAAUCCCCAGCAUUUUAUUGACAAAUUUGGAAAUAUUUUUGGGUUCCAAAUAUAUGGCACAGGAGUAGAUCCAGGAACAAUAAUAUAUGUAGGUCUUGAAACUGAGACAGUGGCAACUCAAACUCAUCAGGUUUUCCAUUCCUUUUAUGAGGAGAUGAGUGUUGAGGAUAAAAUUCCCCAUAAUGUUAAGAACCUAUUUAUUGAUUUGGCUGAGAGUAUUGCGGGUAGUCUUAAUGUAACUAAUUGCUAUGUGUGUGGAGGUACUAAUAUGGGAGGCCAGUGGCCAUGGGAGGCAAAGGAAAUAUGGUACCCUGGCUCUGAGACAUAUGAACAACAGAUACCUUUCCAGUCUGAUCAUCAAGUAAGUACUAGAAGUAAAUCAGAAUGGCGGUUUAAAACCUCCAUUAUAGGUCAUGUUUGUAUAGCCAGGAAAGGGACAAUGUAUAACACGCCUGUAGGUGAGCUAACUUGCUUGGGACAAAAAGCCUAUAAUGUUAAUACUAAAAAUACUACUUGGUGGACAGCUUCAAAUGUCUCGGAGCCUACUAAUCCGUUUGCCAAUUACACUCAUUUAAAGCAGGUAUGGUUUGACUUAUCUGCUACAUCUAGUAGGAAAGCCCCAGCAAAUUUAUACUGGAUCUGUGGUAGGAAAGCUUAUUCAGAGUUACCACAAGAUUGGGAAGGGGCAUGUGUAUUAGGUAUGCUCAAGCCAUCUUCUUCUUGUUGCCAAUUGAGACAGGAGAGACCUUGGGAGUUAAGGUUUACGAUGUAACUCAUAAAAGGAAGAGAGCAUCCUUGAAUAUAGGUAGUUGGGAAGAUGAUGAGUCGCCCCCUCAACGUAUUAUUAAUUAUUAUGGACCGGCUACUUGGGCAGAAGAUGGCACUUAUGGAUAUAGAACUCCGAUAUAUAUGCUCAACCGCAUUAUUAGACUACAGGCGGUGGUUGAGAUUAUUACUAAUGAGACAGCUCAAGCGCUUAAUCUUCUAGCUAAGCAAAAUACCAGGAUGAGAUCAGCCAUCUAUCAAAAUAGAUUAGCUUUAGAUUAUCUAUUAGCAGUGGAAGGAGGUGUAUGCGGAAAGUUUAGCCUUAGCAACUGUUGUCUGCACAUAGAUGAUGAAGGUCAGGCAGUGGCUGAACUUACUAGUCAUAUGGUUAAACUUGCGCAUGUUCCGACUCAGGUCUGGAAUGGGUAUAAUCCUAAUAGUUGGUUUGGAGCAACUUGGAGGAAUUAAGACAUUAGUAGGAGGAGGAGUGUUUAUCAUAUUCUUAUGUCUUUUUCUGCCCUGUCUAAUUCCAUUAGUGGUAAGGUCCCUACGUAGUAUUAUAGAGAGCACUAUAGAAAGAAAGACAGCUGCCCAUGUAAUGGCUGUCUGGAAGUAUGAACCCCUAGCCCAUAGAGAGAAUAAUCGGGAUGAGGAAUGUUGAGAGAGCACAAAGUUAAGUUAGAAUGAUUACAAGAUCUGUACUGGUUCAAUGGUUACUUGAGUGGUGUUGGCAGAUUAUGAUUAGUGAUGCAUCUGGAAUAAUGUUAUAUCAGAGGCAUCAAAGGGGGAAAUGUGGUGGGAUUCCAGCAUGGUCAAAAUUUAGUAGGCCAAGAUUUCCAGGUGGCAUAUGUGUAUGUUGUGUCAGUUAGUUAGCUACACGUAUCUAGGAUACUGUCAUCAGUGUACUGAGCAUGUGCAGGAAUGCAGGAACUGAAAUUGCACUUAUUUUCUUUAUCUUGGAUGAGCCAUGUGGUUUGACUAGAUGUACAAGUCUAUAUUCUGCUCAUUGAUUGUUGAAAGGUAUAUGUGGGUGUAGCUAUUAAUGGGAGGAGUUAUAGUGCUAUAUAAGGAAUGUACACCAUGUGUUGCUCUCUCAGAAUUUUGGAACAGGAGUUCAUCUGAAACCCGAUCGGUAAUGUGAAUAAAGGCCUCUUACUUCCUGAAUACCUGUGUCCAUAUCUCUGUGUUUGGCUUCUGCAUGCUUACCCUGCUACAAUAUGACAUUACUAUUUAUAUAUAAUAAUAGCUUGCUAAAGCUUUUUGCCCUAACUGCAGGAUGCUUAUGUCACAUUCAGGGAUUAUUAUUAACUUGGGAAUUUGGGGAAAUUGCAUGAGAGUUUUAAAUAACCACAGAAUUAUACAAUAUUUAUACUAUCUUGUUUGCACCAUAUUUCGUUAAGGUUCUGCAUUUUCUCAGGAAGUCUGCAUGUAUAUUAAUAAAUAUAUAUCACUGAAUGAUAAUCCCUGAAUGUGACAUGAGCAUCCUGUAGUUGCAGUUAGACAAAAACUUUAGCAAGCUAUUAGUAUAUAUAAAUAGUAAUGUCAUAUCCUAGUCUAAGGUUGGAACUGAACAGUCUGUCAUAUAUCGUUCUCCAAUGGCCAGUGCUCUUAUUCUAAUGUCUAUGCACUUGUCUGUCAGUUUUACUUUUGCAGUAUAGGAGCAGUGAUCAAAGCAGGGAUCCUGUAGUGUAAGGAAUACAAAUCUGUCCUUUUAAAGACUUGUCUUGGUAAUAGUCUUGUAAAGGUACAUCAUCACUGAUCUAUGUACUAUAUUAUGUUGCUGCUGUUAAAAAAAAAUAAAAAUUAUUAUUAUUAUUAAUAAAAUGUGUUUACCAUUACAUGUAAAUAUUUUUCUUAUAAAGCUUGUUUUCUUUCAGUAAAAAUGGAAAAGACAUCAACCCAUCAAGUGUCCAUCAGGUCUGCUACAUCUAAUAAAUGUUUAACCUUGAAGCAUGCAGAUCCUCCUAAUGAAGUGGAAGCCAUCGAUUUGACAGAUGAAGAUGACACAG
RNAcentral lists this long non-coding RNA (4872 nucleotides) under Pelobates cultripes (western spadefoot toad). Lineage: Eukaryota; Metazoa; Chordata; Amphibia; Anura; Pelobatidae. The record is from RNAcentral.